GAAAGGGGUGCUAAUACCUGAUACGAUGCAGACUUCAAAAGGAGAUUGCAUGAAAGGUGACCUCUUCCUUGAAAGUUGCCGCUCGAAGAUGAGCCCGCGUCCCAUUAGCUUGUUGGUGGGGUAAUGGCCUACCAAGGCUCAGAUGGGUAGCUGGUCUGAGAGGAUGAUCAGCCACACUGGAACUGAGACACGGUCCAGACUCCUACGGGAGGCAGCAGUGGGGAAUAUUGCGCAAUGGGGGAAACCCUGACGCAGCAACGCCGCGUGAGUGAUGAAGGCCUUCGGGUCGUAAAGCUCUGUCAGGUGGGAAGAACAAGGAAAUUCCCAAUAAGGGUUUCCUUUGACGGUACCACCAGAGGAAGCACCGGCUAACUCCGUGCCAGCAGCCGCGGUAAUACGGAGGGUGCAAGCGUUGUUCGGAAUCACUGGGCGUAAAGCGCGUGUAGGCGGCCUUUUAAGUCAGAUGUGAAAGCCCUCGGCUCAACCAAGGAACUGCAUCUGAAACUAUCAGGCUUGAGUACGGGAGAGGAGAGUGGAAUUCCCGGUGUAGAGGUGAAAUUCGUA
Molecule: ribosomal RNA, 564 nt
Filed under: uncultured bacterium
Lineage: Bacteria
Description: bacterial SSU rRNA
Rfam family: Bacterial small subunit ribosomal RNA
Source: RNAcentral